GUUUGGGGACAGCAGCCUUUCUCUGAGGGGGGACAAUAACAGGGGCUGCUCAUCUCACUGCUCUGGUGCAGGAGUGACUGAGCCCUGGGUCAGGCAAGAGCCUGGGCAGGGACUGAGGGAUAUUUCUUGUGAGGGGAGGGGAUCGGGGUCUGCUGGAUGGGAGAGGGAUGGCUGGGUAUGAUCAUGCAGGGUAGCAAAGCCCUGCUGACCCCACCUGCCUGCCUUGUUCUUGCUUCCCAAGGGACCAGGCCUAGACCAGACUCAUCUCAACUCACACCCAGUUCACCAUGGAGUCCAAAGACAUUGCCAUUGCAUUCGCCGUUGGAAUUGUCGUAGGAGCUGCAGUCGUGGCAGCAGCAGGUGGUACGCCCGUGUCUUUCUGUGCAGUGGUAGCUACCAAGACCAUAUCUCUUGCCAUGUCUUUUGCAAUUGGGCGAAAACAAAAGGCCUGACUCUGCCCUGCAAUCAACAGCAGACACCAUACUGUCCUUUGGAAGAAUUCCAGGUCAUCACAGCAGAGAACAGAAGCACAUUUCAUCCUUCCACACAGCCUGAUUCGCUUCUUCCCACUGCUGGAACUGGAAAACCCCGCUGACCCCCAGC
Molecule: long non-coding RNA, 603 nt
Organism: Catharus ustulatus (Swainson's thrush)
Lineage: Eukaryota; Metazoa; Chordata; Aves; Passeriformes; Turdidae
Exons: 4
Source: RefSeq, a predicted model, not a curated record